This 1569-nucleotide long non-coding RNA is filed under the name Sorghum bicolor (sorghum). RNAcentral's name for it is "long non-coding RNA (SBIC_LNC013466)". Lineage: Eukaryota; Viridiplantae; Streptophyta; Magnoliopsida; Poales; Poaceae. The record is from RNAcentral.
UCUCGCGAAGGACAGCAGCAGAAGCUUCAGCCUCCUCCUUCUCUUUCUUAAGAACCUCCGAUACAUUUUUCAACUCCUCCUUCUCCCUCCUGAGCACCUCAACCGCCUGCCGGACGGAAGCAAAUCCCUUAACUUCCUCCGACAGGCGAGCCUUCUCAGCCUCCAAAGUUUCAUUUUCCUUUUUAAGAGCCUCAAUGGCUUCAUCGCGGCAAAUAACCUCUCGGGAGCACCGCUCCUCCAAGGCAGCAGCCAUGUGAUGACCCUGCCCAAAAAAGCACACACAUGAAACCUCCGAACAAAAAAAACGGUGAAGGAAAAUAAAACAAAACAAAAACAUACAAGGCUAUGGUGCUCAUACUGCACGCGGAGGAGCGUGUCAAAGUCCAUGCCGCGGAGCUUUUGACGAAAACGAUCUGUAAAGCAAAAACAAGUAAGGAAAAAAUCGUAAGAACCAAAAACCAGCUAGCGGAGGCCAGAUUACAAACCUCCGACCAAAGAAUGAACUUCGCGCAAGGCAUCAGUCCAACCUGUGAUCGAAGGAUCAGAAGCACCUGCGCAAAACCAAAACCAACCUUAGAAUAAAAUUCUCAAAAAAAAAGAAGAAGAAGCAAAGAGUUAAACCAAAAGAGGAAGAAACUCACCAGGACCAAUAACAUCAGCAGGCGAAGGUCUGCUGGCCAACGCAGAAGGCGCAGGCUCGCGCCGCGGAGGAACAGCUAUUCCCUCCUGCGCAACGCUGGCACCUUUAUCCAACUCGUCCGCGGUAGCCAGCCCUGCAAAAACAUCCUCUGAAAAGUAUACGAAAGGCAUUAGACAAAGUUAAACAAAAUACGCAGAAAAACAAGAAACAACAAAAACAAAAUCUUUUUUACCCAUAUACAGCGAGUUUAUACCAUCUCCAGCCGGGCGCGGAGGAGCCUCCGCCCUCUUAAUCCUCCGAACAGAGGCAGACUCUGCCUCAUCACUUGAAUCCUGCAUAUCCUUUGGCGGAGAUCCUCUGCCAGCAGAAGCCUCCCGCGCAGGACUCUUCGCCAUCGCAGGAAUCGCCUCCCGCGCGGAACCAUCCCCAGGGGCCUCCGCAUCGGAAGACUCCUGUUGGGUAUUUUAAACGCAAACAGAAAAAUCCGCAAGCGCACGGAUACCGAUGUAGCCUUCACCCGGGAGUAUUCCAGAGUAUCGAUUUUCCACAGAGAAUGUGAGUGUACUAAUUAAGACUCAAGAUCGCCCAAGGAUAACUAUAUAAUUAUUUUUGAUGGGAAGAGAGGAAGUUUCCUGAGAGUUCUCUAGUUGAUCUAAGAAUCAAGAAUUAAUUCAAGAUUAUUUAUAUCGGGACAUCAGAGCACUAACCACAGAAAGAGAUGAGAAGGGGGCUAGGAAGGUCUGACUACGGUCCUACAAACACCGAUCCGAACGUGGUGGAAUACGUCGACCGUUAGGGCUGUCACUACCCUAAGGCUACCACAACAAUCCGCAGGAUUGGGUGCAAUUUCAGGUAAUUGCAAGACUAAACACCACGUCUAAUCUAUUAAUUACUACUCUAAUGUUUCAAAGAUUAGAGCACUUGAUGCA